UAUAUAUUGAAUCGUAUUAUUUAAAAAAUUCUGUAACCAUAUGAUUUAUCAUGUCAUCUAUGCAAUUGUAGUGGAUUUUCAGGUGUCAUCAACUGGACAAAACAUGAGGACAUUUUUCGAAAGGACUAUCUUUUGAUAGUCGAGAAUGUUCUUGGAAACCACUGGAGACUCAUGAUUGUGUACUUCCCUGGAAACGAAGAAGUGGAACAUAUCAAAAGGGGGCGAAAACUGGUGCAAUCAAGGAGGCCUUGCAUUUUAAUGCUAGACUCCCAAUCUGGGCAAGUGAGUGACAGCAUGGAUGUGUUUCAAAACAUUCGAAGUUACUUAACAGAAAUGUGGAAAAACACAAGAAAAACACCCCGGAUAUUUUCUGCAGAGUCUAUGCCAGCCCUGAAAUUGAGGGUACCUGAACAGCAAGGAAACACUUCUGAGUGUGGCAUAUUUGUAUUACUAAAUUUUAUUAUUAAAUUUCUGAAGGUAAGUUCUGAAAGUAAAAAGUAAAAUCAUGGCACUGUGCAUGUCACUAAAAGAAAACAAAUGAUUAAUGUUUCAAUUCCUUCCUCUAGGAUCCUCCCAAAGAACUAAUCAAUGAGCUUGACUGUACAUCCUGGUUUACACUGGCCGAUGCAUUUUCAAGGCGUGCGCAGAUCAGGGACAAAAUGCGAAGCAGUUUAUAAGCACAGAGAAGUGAAGCAGAGGAAAACAAAGCAGAAGAAAGAGAAAGUGAAGAAGAGCAAACAGUUAACGAGAGAGGGCAAGAGGAAAACAUAGCCAAGAAAAGAAAAAUAGAAGGUAGAGAUGAAGAAAACAUACCUGAGGAAAGAAAAGAUGACAAAACAGCUCAGGGAGGAAACUAUACAGUUCUGGGAAGGCUGUCAGUGCCAGGCACCAAAAGAAAAUACACAGUGACUCAAGAUGAACUGAAGAGGAGAAUAAAGGCAGAAAACAUGUCAAACAACAUG
Megalobrama amblycephala (Wuchang bream) is the source of this 962-nucleotide long non-coding RNA. RefSeq lists it as uncharacterized. The transcript is spliced from 5 exons. The record is from RefSeq and is a predicted model, not a curated record. Lineage: Eukaryota; Metazoa; Chordata; Actinopteri; Cypriniformes; Xenocyprididae.